GCUGCAUCCACAACUCUUCCUCCACCAGCCGCUGUCAUGUUGCUGCGGUCCGUCUUCGUAAAACGACCGGACGGAAACAACCCUCGCUAGGAACGCAAAGGCAAAAUGGGGAAUCCUGAAACAAAGAUCGUCUAUUGAUGCGGGGUUGCAGCUGAUUCACUGGAGGCAGCAAUCAGGAGGGUCGCGGGGGGUGCUGGAGCCUAUCCCAGCUGAAUCGGGCAAAGGCAGGGGACACCCUGGACAGGUUGCCAGUCUGUAGCAGGGCUGAAGUGGAAUCAUGGUUUCCCCAUUCUGUAAAAUCUUCACACCAGUUUCCAGGCCCACAAAAUCCCUGAAAACCUAGAUAAAUAAAUGUAAAA
Acanthochromis polyacanthus (spiny chromis) is the source of this 359-nucleotide long non-coding RNA. RefSeq lists it as uncharacterized. The transcript is spliced from 3 exons. The record is from RefSeq and is a predicted model, not a curated record. NCBI's taxonomy places the organism in Eukaryota, Metazoa, Chordata, Actinopteri, Pomacentridae.